UGAAAAAAUCUGUUUAGAAGCACGCGGAUCCUUUUUAUCCGAUUUUUAAAAGUCGGAUACUCGCGUCUAAUCCUGGCCAUUAAAUUGAAUUGUUAUUAGCCGUUAGAUUUUGUAGUUUUAUUUUGAAUUAUCAUACAUUUUAAAUACGAUCCUCAUUUUUAAAUAACUACUUUUACGGUAAAAGCUAAACAUUCUCCUAUAAUUAUGAGAUUCAUCUUAUUCACUAAACUUGAAUUCCACGAAAAAAUAUUUUGCGCAUA
This 260-nucleotide small RNA is filed under the name Arabidopsis thaliana (thale cress). Its description in RNAcentral is "ATSL153710". The record is from RNAcentral. Lineage: Eukaryota; Viridiplantae; Streptophyta; Magnoliopsida; Brassicales; Brassicaceae.